This 631-nucleotide long non-coding RNA is filed under the name Cicer arietinum (chickpea). RNAcentral describes it as "long non-coding RNA (CARI_LNC001880)". Lineage: Eukaryota; Viridiplantae; Streptophyta; Magnoliopsida; Fabales; Fabaceae. The record is from RNAcentral.
UUUUGAAGUGGUGAUAGUUGUAUAAUAUGACAAUGCUUGUCCUGUAGAGCUGAAAUUUGGGGACAUGUUUUCCGUUGUUCUUGGAAAUUGUAUACUGUAUCAUAUGCAUUAGGAUACACUAUACAGACAAAAAUUGAGAAGAGUCUCUCUCUCUCUCUCUGCUUGAUCUCAAUCUCAGUAGUAUGAAGUUGAAGAUUGUCUUUUUGUUGUUUGUUUGUUUGUGUUUUCUCAUUCCCUUUAUCCUUAUCGUUAAUCAAUAUACCAUGUCGAUUUCCUCCUGAAAUGCUGUUUGGGCUUCUUAUGGAAAUCAGUUUUAUGAUUAACUGAAGUAUGCAGGACUUGUUAUUUCUCUUUCUUCUUAUCCCUAUCCUUAAUCAAUUUAUCAUUUGAACUUCUCUUGAAAUGGCAUAUGCGCUUGUUUCUGAAAUCGAUUUAUAAUUGACAUGUCAAAUUUUGAAUGUUUUUUGUGCUUAAAUAAAUUUAGAAAACUUUGAAUACAUACCUUUGAAAUUUAUGAUGAUUGCCUUUUUUCUGUAUCUGUCCUUGAAGUCAUGCCUGAUAGAAAUGAAAAAUGUUUUUUGUCGCAUAUCGGUAACUCUUUUGGUCCACGGAGUAAGUCAGUUGUUUUCUG